Molecule: ribosomal RNA, 497 nt
Filed under: uncultured bacterium
Lineage: Bacteria
Description: partial 16S ribosomal RNA
Rfam family: Bacterial small subunit ribosomal RNA
Source: RNAcentral
GAUGAACGCUGGCGGCGUGCCUAAUACAUGCAAGUCGAGCGAACGGACGAGAAGCUUGCUUCUCUGAUGUUAGCGGCGGACGGGUGAGUAACACGUGGAUAACCUACCUAUAAGACUGGGAUAACUUCGGGAAACCGGAGAUAAUACCGGAUAAUAUUUUGAACCGCAUGGUUCAAAAGUGAAAGACGGUCUUGAUGUCACUUAUAGAUGGAUCCGCGCUGCAUUAGCUAGUUGGUAAGGUAACGGCUUACCAAGGCAACGAUGCAUAGCCGACCUGAGAGGGUGAUCGGCCACACUGGAACUGAGACACGGUCCAGACUCCUACGGGAGGCAGCAGUAGGGAAUCUUCCGCAAUGGGCGAAAGCCUGACGGAGCAACGCCGCGUGAGUGAUGAAGGUCUUCGGAUCGUAAAGCUCUUUUAGUAGGGAAGAACAUAUGUGUAAGUAACUGUGCACAUCUUGACGGUACCUAAUCAGAAAGCCCCGGCUAACUACGUG